UACAGAGGUGGCAAGCGUUGUUCGGAAUUACUGGGCGUAAAGGGCGCGUAGGCGGUUCGUUAAGUCCUGUGUGAAAUCCCCGGGCUUAACCUGGGAACUGCAUUUGUGACUGCAUGGCUAGAGUGCGGCAGAGGGGGAUGGAAUUCCGCGUGUAGCAGUGAAAUGCGUAGAUAUGCGGAGGAACACCGAUGGCGAAGGCAAUCCCCUGGGCCUGCACUGACGCUCAUGCACGAAAGCGUGGGGAGCAAACAGG
RNAcentral lists this ribosomal RNA (253 nucleotides) under uncultured bacterium. RNAcentral's name for it is "partial 16S ribosomal RNA". It matches the Rfam family "Bacterial small subunit ribosomal RNA", at positions 524 to 776 of the family's 1533-position model. The record is from RNAcentral.